UAAAGGCGGACCCCGGGCAGCGCACCUUCUGUUUCAUUUAGCUUAUUUGUCUCUCUUCAGGGUAACGUGCCUCACAAUCUUAACGCUAUUUGACCUCCGCUGUACCAAAUACUCGUCUUCUUACACCCAGAAAAAAAGAGAUGCCUGUCCACAACACCCUCCAUGCAGAAUUACCUCUGGUAGAAGCACUACCUGACUCAGGCUCAGCUGGUCCAGUUUCUACUGUCCAUCAUACACACCCUGAGUGCAGUCAUCGUCCCCUGUUGUUUUCCCAUCAGACGCCUGCUCAUCCAGGUCUCCUACAUGGCCACCCUCGUCAUCCUCUUUGUCAACGUCUACAUUCAGACCUACAGAAAAAGACGGCACAGAAAAGACGAUAAGCUUACUUUUGAGCAGAGCCACAUCAAGUCCAGUCAUCCAAAUGGCCACUCCGCCUCGACCAAUGGCACCAGCCUCAAGAAAAGGCAGUAGUCAUCAGACCCGGAUGGCAAGAUCACGACUCCAACCACUACUAGAAUCAAUUUAUGCAGUGACACUACUAUAUCGCUCCAACUCGGCAUUUUUGUAUAGAAUAUUUUGUACUUCAUUUUUGUAUCAAAUACUUGUUUUGGUUUCCUUGAAGCUUGACACUGAAUUUGUAACAGUACUGUACACAAUGCUAAUUUCCAUUGCACUUCCACGUGUUCAAAUAUAAGUGUGAAAGCUCCCUCAAUUCCAAUAUUGUCAUAGUGUUAUCUUGAGCUCAAUCAGCAAUUUCCACAAUACUUUGUAUAGGCAACCUCGCACUUUAAUCAAUUUAAUAUUUAUUCUAAAGUAAAUUGAAAUUAAACAACUUGAUAUCCACACCUUAUUGGAUUUGCAGAACCAAUUUGAUUUAAGUUUACAUAAAAACACUUAACAGAACGGCAUGGACAAAAUUGCCACCCCCGAGCUAAAACACGGUU
Molecule: long non-coding RNA, 944 nt
Organism: Oncorhynchus gorbuscha (pink salmon)
Lineage: Eukaryota; Metazoa; Chordata; Actinopteri; Salmoniformes; Salmonidae
Exons: 4
Source: RefSeq, a predicted model, not a curated record